UGCCAGCCGCCGCGGUAAUACGGAGGGUGCAAGCGUUGCUCGGAAUUACUGGGCGUAAAGCGAACGCAGGCGGCUUACCAAGUCGGGUGUGAAAGCCCUGGGCUCAACCCAGGAAUUGCAUUCGAAACUGGUAGGCUUGAGUCCGAGAGAGGGAGGUGGAAUUCCAGGUGUAGAGGUGAAAUUCGUUGAUAUCUGGAGGAACACCGGUGGCGAAGGCGGCCUCCUGGCUCGGUACUGACGCUCAUGUUCGAAAGCGUGGGGAGCAAACAGGAUUAGAUA
This 279-nucleotide ribosomal RNA is filed under the name uncultured bacterium. RNAcentral describes it as "partial 16S ribosomal RNA". It matches the Rfam family "Bacterial small subunit ribosomal RNA", at positions 506 to 784 of the family's 1533-position model. The record is from RNAcentral.